CCCCUCUCAGGAUCGCAACUGGAGAGUUUCCAGUCCUCUGCCAGUCUCGACUAUGGGAGGGAAAAUCAAGCAGAGGCGUACCCAUUCCAUUCCUAGCUUGGGCAGUGGCUAGCGAGUGGAAUAUAAUCUGCUACAAGU
Molecule: small nucleolar RNA, 138 nt
Organism: Tachyglossus aculeatus (Australian echidna)
Lineage: Eukaryota; Metazoa; Chordata; Mammalia; Monotremata; Tachyglossidae
Source: RefSeq, a predicted model, not a curated record